AGUGAACGCUGGCGGUAGGCCUAACACAUGCAAGUCGAACGGCAGCACGGUAAGAGCUUGCUCUUACGGGUGGCGAGUGGCGGACGGGUGAGGAAUACAUCGGAAUCUACUUUUUCGUGGGGGAUAACGUAGGGAAACUUACGCUAAUACCGCAUACGACCUACGGGUGAAAGCAGGGGAUCUUCGGACCUUGCGCGAUUGAAUGAGCCGAUGUCGGAUUAGCUAGUUGGCGGGGUAAAGGCCCACCAAGGCGACGAUCCGUAGCUGGUCUGAGAGGAUGAUCAGCCACACUGGAACUGAGACACGGUCCAGACUCCUACGGGAGGCAGCAGUGGGGAAUAUUGGACAGUGGGCGCAAGCCUGAUCCAGCCAUACCGCGUGGGUGAAGAAGGCCUUCGGGUUGUAAAGCCCUUUUGUUGGGAAAGAAAAGCAGCAGGUUAAUACCCCGCUGUUCUGACGGUACCCAAAGAAUAAGCACCGGCUAACUUCGUG
This 492-nucleotide ribosomal RNA is filed under the name uncultured bacterium. Its description in RNAcentral is "partial 16S ribosomal RNA". It matches the Rfam family "Bacterial small subunit ribosomal RNA", at positions 29 to 507 of the family's 1533-position model. The record is from RNAcentral.